CUUAUGAACACUGCUUCUUACAUACUGAACUUGUCACACAUAGAAAGAAAUACAAGGCAUGAAUUCAAACCCCAGGACAGCCAACACAACUUUAGAAAAGACUUGUGCUCUGGCCUACCCAGAGUACUCCUCUAACUCUUAGGGUUACAACAUCCCCGUAUGGCACGGCCACAUUAAGUUUCCUACUCUGAAUAGCUUUCUCUAAUGUCAACCCUGUGGAGUCUUCUCUGUCUUGUCCGAGUUGCUCGAGAUAUGUUCAAUCAUUUUUUAAUACAUAAGCAAACAGUACAAUAUUCAGUUUGAAGCUAAGAGUCUGAAUGCGUGUGAGAAAAUAAAAAAGUCUGAAUGACUUCCUUAGGGUCAUAAUAAAAACUCUAUCAUUCUUAUCGUUUACGCAGUUUUGAAAACACACUUUCCUCUACAGGUUGAAGGUGGACAACUAUUAAGACGGACGAGGAUUCUAACGUCGAGAACUUUGCUCUAGGGAUUCACCCUGAGCUAAUGAGUGUAUGAUGUAUUCUCGAAGAUGAGGAACUGAGACUCAAAAAAGUUAAAUGACUUCAUCAAAGAAAGAGAAGGGCAUAAAGGUUUCAAGAGCUCCCCUGAAC
RNAcentral lists this long non-coding RNA (608 nucleotides) under Equus asinus (donkey). RNAcentral describes it as "lncRNA (ENSEASG00005034694.1)". Lineage: Eukaryota; Metazoa; Chordata; Mammalia; Perissodactyla; Equidae. The record is from RNAcentral.